GUCAAGUCCUCAUGGCCUUUAUGUCUGGGGCUACACACGUGCUACAAUGGCCGGUACAGAGGGCAGCGAAGGCGCGAGCCGGAGCCAAUCCCGGAAAACCGGUCCCAGUUCGGAUCGAAGUCUGCAACUCGACUCCAUGAAGCCGGAGUCGCUAGUAAUCGCGGAUCAGCAAAGCCGCGGUGAAUACGUUCUCGGGGAUU
Molecule: ribosomal RNA, 200 nt
Filed under: uncultured organism
Description: partial small subunit ribosomal RNA
Rfam family: Bacterial small subunit ribosomal RNA
Source: RNAcentral